This 731-nucleotide long non-coding RNA is filed under the name Homo sapiens (human). RNAcentral describes it as "HSALNT0014534". Lineage: Eukaryota; Metazoa; Chordata; Mammalia; Primates; Hominidae. The record is from RNAcentral.
AAUCCAUCGUGGCCUUUAUCUUUUAGUCCUCUGAAGAGCGUUGAGAAUGGAAAUCAUAAGAUAUUUUUUCCAUUAGGAAGUUCUUUUUACAAGGCGUUUAUUCAGGUUGACUUCUCGGCACCCCGCGGGGCGGGCAACGGGCAGGGCCUCCAGUGCACCUUCUGCGCAGUGGAGCCGCGGGGGCCCAGCUGGGCGGUGGUCGGGUCGUGAGGCGGGAGGGCGGGAGCGGGGGAAGGGAAAAGCAAAAGCGGGGAAAGAAGCCGGGGAGCGGUGGACCAGACAUUCAGACCUCCUGAAAGGCUCGUGCGGAGGCAGAGGCGGGAUCUUCCGGAGGUUCAAACAAUACAGAAGUGUAUAAAGUAAGAAUUGAAAGUCUCUUCGCUGCUCUAAUCUCACUCCUCAGAGGUGAUCACUGGUAAGUAUGGUAUAUAUCUUUUCAGGUACACAUACACACACACACACACACACAAACUUCACUUUUAUAAUAAUGAGAUUCUACUGAACAUGCUGUUUUACAAUUUGUUUUUGUACUCAGCAAUAUGUUGUUCUUGGGGUACACAGAGCUGUACCUCACUCUUUUUUUUUUUUUUUUUUUUGAGACGGAGUCUCACUUUGUCACCCAGGCUGGAGUGCAGUGGCACAAUCUUGGCUCACUGCAAGCUCUGCCUCCCAGGUUCACGCCAUUCUCCUGCCUCACCUCAGCCUCACAAGUAGCUGGGACUACAGACGCC